Molecule: non-coding RNA, 123 nt
Filed under: Clostridium mediterraneense
Lineage: Bacteria; Bacillati; Bacillota; Clostridia; Eubacteriales; Clostridiaceae
Description: SAM riboswitch (S box leader)
Rfam family: SAM riboswitch aptamer (S box leader)
About the family: The SAM riboswitch is found upstream of a number of genes which code for proteins involved in methionine or cysteine biosynthesis in Gram-positive bacteria. The SAM riboswitch acts at the level of transcription termination control. The predicted structure consists of a complex stem-loop region followed by a single stem loop terminator region.
Source: RNAcentral
UCUUAUCCAGAGUGGUGGAGGGACUGGCCCUAUGAAACCCGGCAACCAAUAUAUUUAGGUUAAUUAUAUCUAAAUUUAGAACGGUGCUAAUUCCAGCAGUUAUUAGAAGACUGAUAGAUAAGA